RNAcentral lists this microRNA precursor (190 nucleotides) under Oryza brachyantha (malo sina). RNAcentral describes it as "MIR812 microRNA precursor family". It matches the Rfam family "MIR812 microRNA precursor family". The record is from Rfam by way of RNAcentral. Lineage: Eukaryota; Viridiplantae; Streptophyta; Magnoliopsida; Poales; Poaceae.
AAUAAAUCAAUCUUUCACUUUUUAUCUGCAAUGUUUGACUCUUCGUCUUAUUUGAAAACUACGAUUAAUAUUUUUGUUUUUAUUAGAUGAUAAAUCAUGAAUAGUACUUUAAGUGUGACUAUUUUUUUCAAAUUUCUUGAAAAUUUUUUAAAUAAGAUGGAUGGUCAAACGCUGGACACGAAAACCAAAG